This 901-nucleotide ribosomal RNA is filed under the name uncultured Bacillota bacterium. RNAcentral's name for it is "bacterial SSU rRNA". It matches the Rfam family "Bacterial small subunit ribosomal RNA", at positions 56 to 994 of the family's 1533-position model. Lineage: Bacteria; Bacillati; Bacillota. The record is from RNAcentral.
UGCAAGUCGAACGGGAAAGUGGAGCAAUCCAUGAGUACAGUGGCGUACGGGUGAGUAACACGUGGGUAUCUAACUCUUAGUGGGGAAUAACGCUGGGAAACCGGCGCUAAUACCGCAUAAGCUCGAGAGAGGAAAGCAGCAAUGCGCUGAGAGAGGAGCCCGCGGCCGAUUAGCUAGUUGGCAGGGUAAAGCCUACCAAGGCAGAGAUCGGUAGCCGGCCUGAGAGGGCACACGGCCACACUGGCACUGAAACACGGGCCAGACUCCUACGGGAGGCAGCAGUGGGGAAUCUUGCACAAUGGGGGCAACCCUGAUGCAGCGACGCCGCGUGAGCGAUGAAGCCCUUCGGGGUGUAAAGCUCUUUCGUCAGGGAAGAUUAUGACGGUACCUGGAGAAGCAGCUGCGGCUAACUACGUGCCAGCAGCCGCGGUAAUACGUAGGCAGCGAGCGUUGUUCGGAGUUACUGGGCGUAAAGGGUGUGUAGGCGGUUCUUUAAGUUUGGCGUGAAAUCUCCCGGCUCAACCGGGAGGGUGCGUCGAAUACUGAGGGACUAGAGUACGGGAGAGGAAAGUGGAAUUCCUGGUGUAGCGGUGAAAUGCGUAGAUAUCAGGAGGAACACCGGUGGUGUAGACGGCUUUCUGGACCGUAACUGACGCUGAGACACGAAAGCGUGGGUAGCAAACAGGAUUAGAUACCCUGGUAGUCCACGCCCUAAACGAUGCAUAUUUGGUGUGGGUCAUUCAGUUGAUCCGUGCCGGAGCUAACGCGUUAAAUAUGCCGCCUGGGGAGUACAGUCGCAAGGCUGAAACUCAAAGGAAUUGACGGGGGCCCGCACAAGCGGUGGACAUGUGGUUCAAUUCGACGCAACGCGAAAACCUUACCUGGGCUCGAACGGCUUCUC